This 125-nucleotide non-coding RNA is filed under the name unclassified sequences. The record is from Rfam.
CCGAGAUAGGGGUACAUAUUCUGCCACUGGCGAUUCCCUGGACCUUAGCGAUGAUGCGCAAGCUAGCGACGACUCUCGGCGUUCUAAGGGAGAGAGUACCGUUCGCGACGGAGUCUCCCAGGACG